RNAcentral lists this ribosomal RNA (429 nucleotides) under Verrucomicrobiota bacterium. RNAcentral describes it as "Verrucomicrobia bacterium partial 16S ribosomal RNA". It matches the Rfam family "Bacterial small subunit ribosomal RNA", at positions 355 to 776 of the family's 1533-position model. Lineage: Bacteria; Pseudomonadati; Verrucomicrobiota. The record is from RNAcentral.
UAGGGAAUCUUCGGCAAUGGGGGGAACCCUGACCGAGCAACGCCGCGUGAGUGAAGAAGGUUUUCGGAUCGUAAAGCUCUGUUGUUAAGGAAGAACGAGUGUGAGAAUGGAAAGUUCAUGCUGUGACGGUACUUAACCAGAAAGGGACGGCUAACUACGUGCCAGCAGCCGCGGUAAUACGUAGGUCCCGAGCGUUGUCCGGAUUUAUUGGGCGUAAAGCGAGCGCAGGCGGUUAGAAAAGUCUGAAGUGAAAGGCAGUGGCUCAACCAUUGUAGGCUUUGGACACUGUUUAACUUGAGUGCAGAAGGGGAGAGUGGAAUUCCAUGUGUAGCGGUGAAAUGCGUAGAUAUAUGGAGGAACACCGGUGGCGAAAGCGGCUCACUGGUCUGUAACUGACGCUGAGGCUCGAAAGCGUGGGGAGCGAACAGG